GCCCUCGUAGCUCAGUGGGAGAGCAUAACCCUCAUAAGGUUGAGGUCAGAUGAUCGAAACAUCUCUAGGGCU
Transfer RNA from Naegleria gruberi, 72 nucleotides. It matches the Rfam family "tRNA". From Rfam's summary of the family: Transfer RNA (tRNA) molecules are approximately 80 nucleotides in length. Lineage: Eukaryota; Heterolobosea; Eutetramitea; Acrasida; Naegleriidae. The record is from Rfam.